UUCGUCCAAUUGAAGCAGAGGACAGUGGCGGACGGGUGAGUAACGCGUGAGGAACCUGCCUUUCAGAGGGGGACAACAGUUGGAAACGACUGCUAAUACCGCAUAAUGUAUUCGGAAGGCAUCUUCUGGAUACCAAAGGAGAAAUCCGCUGAUGGAUGGGCUCACGUCUGAUUAGAUAGUUGGUGAGGUAACGGCUCACCAAGUCGACGAUCAGUAGCCGGACUGAGAGGUUGAACGGCCACAUUGGAACUGAGACACGGCCCAAACUCC
RNAcentral lists this ribosomal RNA (270 nucleotides) under uncultured Oscillospiraceae bacterium. RNAcentral's name for it is "partial 16S ribosomal RNA". It matches the Rfam family "Bacterial small subunit ribosomal RNA", at positions 74 to 339 of the family's 1533-position model. Lineage: Bacteria; Bacillati; Bacillota; Clostridia; Eubacteriales; Oscillospiraceae. The record is from RNAcentral.